This 498-nucleotide ribosomal RNA is filed under the name uncultured bacterium. RNAcentral describes it as "partial 16S ribosomal RNA". It matches the Rfam family "Bacterial small subunit ribosomal RNA", at positions 28 to 507 of the family's 1533-position model. The record is from RNAcentral.
GACGAACGCUGGCGGCGUGCCUAAUACAUGCAAGUCGAACGAGAGCGACCGGUGCUUGCACUGGUCAAUCUAGUGGCGAACGGGUGAGCAACACGUGGGUAACCUGCCCAUCAGAGGGGGAUAACAUCCGGAAACGGAUGCUAAAACCGCAUAGGUCUUCGAACCGCAUGGUUUGAAGAGGAAAAGAGGCGCAAGCUUCUGCUGAUGGAUGGACCCGCGGUGCAUUAGCUAGUUGGUGAGGUAACGGCUCACCAAGGCCGUGAUGCAUAGCCGACCUGAGAGGGUGAUCGGCCACAUUGGGACUGAGACACGGCCCAAACUCCUACGGGAGGCAGCAGUAGGGAAUCUUCCGCAAUGGACGCAAGUCUGACGGAGCAACGCCGCGUGAGUGAAGAAGGUUUUCGGAUCGUAAAACUCUGUUGUUAGAGAAGAACAAGUGCUAGAGUAACUGUUAGCGCCUUGACGGUAUCUAACCAGAAAGCCACGGCUAACUACGUG